AUACUCACCCGGAAGGUGAAAUACCAUGAUCACUAACAUGGUUUCCCCAGGGCAGUUCCUUCUCCAUUGUGCUCUAGAUAUGCUGACCCCUGCAAUUUCCCCAAAUGUGGAAAACUCGCCUGCAUAAUUUGUGGUAGUGAGGCACUAAGUUCAUGCUCCCCCC
This is a small nuclear RNA of Peromyscus maniculatus bairdii (prairie deer mouse), 163 nucleotides long. Its record names the gene U1. It matches the Rfam family "U1 spliceosomal RNA". From Rfam's summary of the family: U1 is a small nuclear RNA (snRNA) component of the spliceosome (involved in pre-mRNA splicing). Its 5' end forms complementary base pairs with the 5' splice junction, thus defining the 5' donor site of an intron. NCBI's taxonomy places the organism in Eukaryota, Metazoa, Chordata, Mammalia, Rodentia, Cricetidae. The record is from Ensembl.